Molecule: ribosomal RNA, 373 nt
Filed under: uncultured organism
Description: partial 16S ribosomal RNA
Rfam family: Bacterial small subunit ribosomal RNA
Source: RNAcentral
GUAGGUGGCAAGCGUUGUCCGGAAUUAUUGGGCGUAAAGUGCGCGCAGGCGGUCCUUUAAGUCUGAUGUGAAAGCCCACGGCUCAACCGUGGAGGGUCAUUGGAAACUGGGGGACUUGAGUACAGAAGAGGAAAGCGGAAUUCCAAGUGUAGCGGUGAAAUGCGUAGAGAUUUGGAGGAACACCAGUGGCGAAGGCGGCUUUCUGGUCUGUAACUGACGCUGAGGCGCGAAAGCGUGGGGAGCAAACAGGAUUAGAUACCCUGGUAGUCCACGCCGUAAACGAUGAGUGCUAAGUGUUAGGGGGUUUCCCGCCCCCUUAGUGCUGCAGCUAACGCAUUAAGCACUCCGCCUGGGGAGUACGGCCGCAAGGCUG